UACGUAGGGUGCGAGCGUUAAUCGGAAUACUGGGCGUAAAGCGUGCGCAGGCGGUGAUGUAAGACAGUUGUGAAAUCCCCGGGCUCAACCUGGGAACUGCAUCUGUGACUGCAUCGCUGGAGUGCGGCAGAGGGGGAUGGAAUUCCGCGUGUAGCAGUGAAAUGCGUAGAUAUCGAGGAGGAACACCGGUGGCGAAGGCGCCCACCGUGGCCUGCUGAC
Molecule: ribosomal RNA, 219 nt
Filed under: uncultured bacterium
Lineage: Bacteria
Description: partial 16S ribosomal RNA
Rfam family: Bacterial small subunit ribosomal RNA
Source: RNAcentral